AUUAUUUGCAACUGCCAUGGAUGUUUACAGGAACCCAGCCAGAGUUUGCCUCCCUGCACUUCAUCCCAGAGCGCACCUGCUUCCUCCACUUCACCUUCGGAGAGGACACUUCAAACUGCGGACACACGCAAAAGCAACUCCCAGCUCUGUUUGAUGUUACUCGUUCCUCAGCAAGUUGGCAAAACAGAUAUCAUGCUGGCAAUUGAAAAGCUGCAGGCGGGUGCUCUUGCAACUGACGCAGUCACUGCAGCACUGGUGGAACUUGAGAUCUGUUUGAGGAGAUGGUGCCUGUGUCAGUGUGGCAGUCUUUGGCUGCCUGUGAUCAGAGGAAAGCCGAUUUGUUAACAGAUCAAUUGCUCAGAUGAGAGAAGCCACCACUUUGGCAAAUGG
Molecule: unclassified non-coding RNA, 390 nt
Filed under: Homo sapiens (human)
Lineage: Eukaryota; Metazoa; Chordata; Mammalia; Primates; Hominidae
Description: novel transcript (ENSG00000290447.1)
Source: RNAcentral